Molecule: long non-coding RNA, 1453 nt
Organism: Felis catus (domestic cat)
Lineage: Eukaryota; Metazoa; Chordata; Mammalia; Carnivora; Felidae
Exons: 3
Source: RefSeq, a predicted model, not a curated record
GGAGGGUUUCUUUUAAAUAGGCCACCCUCCUACCCAUGCCAAAGUUUUCCAUUCAUCACCCUUCCACUCUUCAGUGAAUUGGCUAGUCAAGUGCUGUAUUCUCUUCACCUUAGAUUUCCCGGUCCCAGAGGUGGCUGGUGAAGCCACCCCAUCUUGAACAGGAUCCUGCAAAACAAAAUCAAACCCACGUAUCAAGAACUCUUCUCCUAAUCUCAGAUAGAACGCUGGAACCUUUACAGACCAGGGAGGAUUCCAUGAAUUUCCAUGAGAGCUUCCUUGAUUCAUGACUUUAUGAUAUUCCAUGUACAUGUUGAUGAAUAUACAAUAUUUCCUAAUUGCCACUAUUUUCUCCUGUCUCUUCAUGGGUGAGUACCUGGUGGUGGUGAGUCAGUCAGUGCGAAAAAGAACAUGGCACAUAGUCAAGCAGUCAAUAACUGUUUGUUGAAAGAGUGAACAUGUCAUUAUUUCCAAAGCCUGCCUUGGAGAUAUGGUAAAUUGUACUAUGCCACACUGUCCCUCACCUCCAUCAUAUCCUCAUAGAAGAGGUAGAGAAUGCAGUGUUGCUUGUUGACUUUCUAUCAACCUUUCAUGUCAUGCCAAGAACUCCAACACAACACAAGACAUAGAAGAAAAAUGGGGCAGUGUGUCUUGACUGUCUACGUGAUCCCAGUAAUUCACUGAAAGGAUUUAUGAAGAUAGGAGAUAAUCCACAGCAAUAAUUCUCUUAUUUUAGAGAAGGUAAAACCCAUGUUACAGUGUCCAGAUAUUAUUUCUAACAUUUUCUACAGCACUUGCCAGCAUAAAUAAGAUUAUUGAUAAAAGAAGAAAACUUAGCUAAAUUCUCUCACCUUUCUUAGUUGGAAAACUUUCAUAAAACUCAUCCCAUGUUUCUGGAGCAGGAAGUGUUUUAUUCUUCCUCUGAAAUAGGACACCAAAUUGUCCUUGAGACUUUUUCUACAGAGAUUUCUGAAAGUAGAUGGUAAAGUAGAGGGUUGGGGGUGAAGAAGAAAAAAUGAGAGAGAAAUUUUAGUGAUGUCAGAGCCGUAGUUUUUAGUAUAAUAAACAGUGUGGGAGAAAAGUUUUAAUGACUUUCUAUUUUUAUUCAUCACUGAGAAUUGUUACUACAUGAAAACAAAAGUUUUAUAUAGUUAGUGGUUAUUUUGUGAGCAAUGAUGUAGACUGGAAAGUGAUGCAUUGAAAUUCUGGUUUUGGCAGAGCACCAGCACAUGAAAGAAGGACAUACAUGAAGAAAUCAAUGCACGUCGAUGCCUCUCUACUCUUGGCUUUUUUCAUGAGCUCAGUCAACUUUCAAUACUUGAAUGCCUGUGAAUGUGAUAGUAAAAAAUCCUAAGUGUAUAUUUAGGAUCAUAGUCAAGUGUUGCUAUUCCAUACUCACCAGAUCUCAUGGAUGGGACUAUCCAUUCGAUGAAAGGAAAUCGUAUGUAAGUAGGUG